CUUGAACGCUGGCGGAAUGCUUUACACAUGCAAGUCGAACGGCAGCACGGGGGCAGCCCUGGUGGCGAGUGGCGAACGGGUGAGUAAUACAUCGGAACGUGCCCGGUCGUGGGGGAUAACGUAGCGAAAGUUACGCUAAUACCGCAUACGAUCUGAGGAUGAAAGCGGGGGACCUUCGGGCCUCGCGCGAUCGGAGCGGCCGAUGUCAGAUUAGGUAGUUGGUGGGGUAAAGGCCUACCAAGCCGACGAUCUGUAGCUGGUCUGAGAGGACGACCAGCCACACUGGGACUGAGACACGGCCCAGACUCCUACGGGAGGCAGCAGUGGGGAAUUUUGGACAAUGGGCGCAAGCCUGAUCCAGCCAUUCCGCGUGCAGGACGAAGGCCUUCGGGUUGUAAACUGCUUUUGUACGGAACGAAAAGGCUCUGGCUAAUACCUGGGGCUCAUGACGGUACCGUAAGAAUAAGCACCGGCUAACUACGUG
RNAcentral lists this ribosomal RNA (484 nucleotides) under uncultured bacterium. RNAcentral describes it as "partial 16S ribosomal RNA". It matches the Rfam family "Bacterial small subunit ribosomal RNA", at positions 30 to 507 of the family's 1533-position model. The record is from RNAcentral.